RNAcentral lists this transfer RNA (74 nucleotides) under Gammaproteobacteria bacterium. RNAcentral's name for it is "tRNA-Val". It matches the Rfam family "tRNA". From Rfam's summary of the family: Transfer RNA (tRNA) molecules are approximately 80 nucleotides in length. Their secondary structure includes four short double-helical elements and three loops (D, anti-codon, and T loops). Lineage: Bacteria; Pseudomonadati; Pseudomonadota; Gammaproteobacteria. RNAcentral also lists the same sequence under 1 other name. The record is from RNAcentral.
GGUCGCAUAGCUCAGCUGGUCAGAGCGCACGGUUCACAUCCGUGAGGUCCUUGGUUCGAGUCCAAGUGCGACCA